CAACCCUCAGGCUCUGCCUGGCGUUGGGGACCUGCGCACUGCAGCCCCCGAAAGACAGCGGCGGUCCCGUCGCGGCUCCGAGCGUAGUAAACACCUCGCUUCGGCGUCCGUGCGGUGGCCGGCCGGAAAACCCCCAAAUCACGUGG
This 146-nucleotide unclassified non-coding RNA is filed under the name uncultured Chaetosphaeria. Its description in RNAcentral is "sequence contains ITS2". The record is from RNAcentral. Lineage: Eukaryota; Fungi; Ascomycota; Sordariomycetes; Chaetosphaeriales; Chaetosphaeriaceae.